This 496-nucleotide ribosomal RNA is filed under the name uncultured bacterium. Its description in RNAcentral is "partial 16S ribosomal RNA". It matches the Rfam family "Bacterial small subunit ribosomal RNA", at positions 29 to 507 of the family's 1533-position model. The record is from RNAcentral.
AUGAACGCUGGCGGCGUGCCUCAUACAUGCAAGUCGAGCGCACAGACGAGGAGCUUGCUCCUCUGACGUUAGCGGCGGACGGGUGAGUAACACGUGGAUAACCUACCUAUAAGACUGGGAUAACUUCGGGAAACCGGAGCUAAUACCGGAUAAUAUAUUGAACCGCAUGGUUCAAUAGUGAAAGACGGUUUUGCUGUCACUUAUAGAUGGAUCCGCGCCGCAUUAGCUAGUUGGUAAGGUAACGGCUUACCAAGGCAACGAUGCGUAGCCGACCUGAGAGGGUGAUCGGCCACACUGGAACUGAGACACGGUCCAGACUCCUACGGGAGGCAGCAGUAGGGAAUCUUCCGCAAUGGGCGAAAGCCUGACGGAGCAACGCCGCGUGAGUGAUGAAGGUCUUCGGAUCGUAAAACUCUGUUAUUAGGGAAGAACAAAUGUGUAAAUAACUAUGCACGUCUUGACGGUACCUAAUCAGAAAGCCACGGCUAACUACGUG